UCAUACAGCUUUGAAAGUUAUAUAUUUAGAACUGUUUCGUUUUUUGUGUUCUGACUUGUAAAACAGAAUGAAUAAAUAAGUAAUGUAAAUAUUAGUAAUUACCAGUAAACUCUACAACAUUUGAUUUAAAAUCACACCAAGAUAGUUAAAACUGGGCUGAGGUUAUUGAGGGAUCUGAUCAGGAUUUACCCUCGUAGCAAUGCCGUUUUAUCAUGUGGAGGUUUCAUUCGGGUCUCUAUUUUAAAAAACACACUUUCUUUGGCAGGAGAAAGACCAGACUCAGAGGAACCAGAGACACGGACGUCCAAACCAGCAAGAAGACACCAAAAACAAAGAAGGAUCCCUAUUGUGUGCAGAUUUUGCAUGAAGAACCAGGAAAACAUAUCUAUACAUCUCAGCAGAGUCUGCAUGAAGACAGAAUCAAAACAAAAGAUUGAUCAGGAAGUUCGUAAUUCCCGCGACUCCAUGAUUGAGCAUCUUUGGCACGGCAGGAUUAUUGACUACAGAAUACUCAGCUGUAUUGUGACACAACAGGACGCACUCCAACCUCUGAUUAAGAACCGUGAACAAAUGGGUCAUUUUGUUACGAACAAGCCAGAAGCCAAACUAAUAACUGGCCAAGUGGAAGUGGCUCAAGUGUUGGCACCAACUACAGAUGAAAAUAUAGAUGAAGAAUCAGACGUCAACAUGGAAGAUGACCAGUCGGCGCUGUACCAACCACCAUUGAACCAGGUAUGGGACACCAAACUGAGAAAGGUGAUGCAAAGCAGUGGUUUAUACCAAAAGCACCCUCUGGAUUGUGAUCUGCUGGCUGGAUUUGGGAAAUAUCUCCGUGGCGACAACAAAAUUCCCAAUUUCAAA
Molecule: long non-coding RNA, 861 nt
Organism: Salvelinus fontinalis (brook trout)
Lineage: Eukaryota; Metazoa; Chordata; Actinopteri; Salmoniformes; Salmonidae
Exons: 4
Source: RefSeq, a predicted model, not a curated record